This 253-nucleotide ribosomal RNA is filed under the name uncultured bacterium. Its description in RNAcentral is "partial 16S ribosomal RNA". It matches the Rfam family "Bacterial small subunit ribosomal RNA", at positions 524 to 776 of the family's 1533-position model. The record is from RNAcentral.
GACGAACCGUGCAAACGUUGCUCGGAAUUACUGGGCGUAAAGGGCGCGUAGGCGGAAUGGCAAGUCGGUCGUGAAAUCCUUCGGCUCAACCGAAGAACGUCGAUCGAAACUGCCGUUCUUGAGGAUUGCAGAGGAGACUGGAAUUCCCGGUGUAGCGGUGAAAUGUGUAGAGAUCGGGAGGAACACCGGUGGCGAAGGCGGGUCUCUGGGCAAUUCCUGACGCUGAGGCGCGAAAGCGUGGGGAGCAAACAGG